This 632-nucleotide ribosomal RNA is filed under the name Trichoderma ovalisporum. RNAcentral's name for it is "eukaryotic LSU rRNA". The stretch from base 243 to 396 matches the Rfam family "5.8S ribosomal RNA". Lineage: Eukaryota; Fungi; Ascomycota; Sordariomycetes; Hypocreales; Hypocreaceae. The record is from RNAcentral.
UAGAGGAAGUAAAAGUCGUAACAAGGUCUCCGUUGGUGAACCAGCGGAGGGAUCAUUACCGAGUUUACAACUCCCAAACCCAAUGUGAACCAUACCAAACUGUUGCCUCGGCGGGGUCACGCCCCGGGUGCGUCGCAGCCCCGGAACCAGGCGCCCGCCGGAGGGACCAACCAAACUCUUUCUGUAGUCCCCUCGCGGACGUUAUUUCUUACAGCUCUGAGCAAAAAUUCAAAAUGAAUCAAAACUUUCAACAACGGAUCUCUUGGUUCUGGCAUCGAUGAAGAACGCAGCGAAAUGCGAUAAGUAAUGUGAAUUGCAGAAUUCAGUGAAUCAUCGAAUCUUUGAACGCACAUUGCGCCCGCCAGUAUUCUGGCGGGCAUGCCUGUCCGAGCGUCAUUUCAACCCUCGAACCCCUCCGGGGGGUCGGCGUUGGGGAUCGGGAACCCCUAAGACGGGAUCCCGGCCCCGAAAUACAGUGGCGGUCUCGCCGCAGCCUCUCCUGCGCAGUAGUUUGCACAACUCGCACCGGGAGCGCGGCGCGUCCACGUCCGUAAAACACCCAACUUCUGAAAUGUUGACCUCGGAUCAGGUAGGAAUACCCGCUGAACUUAAGCAUAUCAAUAAGCGGAGGA